GCUGCCGCCGCCGUGCAGCGGCGCGAACGGGGCGCCCAGCAGCGCAUCCGCGCCGCCGAAGCUCAUCAUGGCCAGAGCAGGAAAGCCCAACGUGUGACCUGAUGGCAGACUAACCUGGAGGAAGAGGUGGGGCAGCCUGGAGUUUUCCUCUGGACAUCCUGAGAGGGAUACUGAAGCACUCAGGAGGGGUCUCAGAGCUGCCCAAGCUCACACACGCGGUUUGAGAAGAGCUGCGCUUAGACCACAGGCCUCUUGGCUCCUGGGAAACUGAGAGCAUCGGCUGGAGUUCAUCAGACAGGGGCAAGUCCCAACCGCAGCUCAGUGACCUCAGACGAACCCCCUCACCUCACAGGACCAGGUGCCAGCCCAGUGAACAGAGUUACUAAUAACAGCAGCCCCAGCGUACUGAGAGCUUACACCCUAUUGGGCUCUUCACAUGCGUCAGCCCAGGAAGCCUUCCCUGCAACUUUGCCAGGUAGGUUCUGUUAUUACCUCCAAUUUACAGAUGGGAAAACUAAGGCACAGAGCAGUAAAUAUUGUGGGCCUACGUCACAGAACUCCAAAGUGGCAGGGCCUGCCUCUACUUGGUGAUGUGUGUGGGGACGCUGCAAGCAGUUCAGUGGGGCUGACUGUCUUCAUCAUGGUGGGAUUGGCUCCAGGAGGGAUGGCGGAGAUAUGAGGCCAGACAGGGCACAGGGCUCUGUUCUGAGGGACCUUGAGGCCUCAGGAGGGCUUUGCACUUUAUCCAGGAAUCCCAGCAGCCAUGAGAGGGUCGUAAGCAGGAGGGGCAUCUGGUUGGGUUCCUUUAGCCAGGAAGAUGGGGAGGCUGGUGGCAGAGAAGUCCACUGAAGGCUUUAAUGCCACUCAGGCCAGGGAGGCAGGGCCCAGAUGAGCCAGUGACAGGAGUAGUGGAGAGAGAGUGCGGGGUAGACACAGCUGAAGGGACAGUAGGCAACGCUGAGUAGCCUUGGUUAGCUCAGCACGUUUCUUUGGGUUGAAAUGCAUUAGAUAUUUUCAAAAGUUGGUUUAUAAUCAAAUAAAAAAAGAAAUGCAUCAGAUAGAGCCUGACAUGGGAUUGGUGAGUGGUCAGGAAGUCCAGCUCAGCAUACAGCGGGCGCCAAACGUAUACUCAGAACUCAUCUCAGCAGGCAUUACAGGGGCUGUCUGAGUGCAUCCCGGAGUGUAUACAUUUGUCCAGGUGGAACACCUGUAGUUUCCAUGGUGGGGUCUACCACAGGCAUUUCUGAGUCCUGACCGCCCUGAGCUGUUGUUUUUUCACCAUUUCUUUCUUUAGCUCAACUGCCAUUAUUUAUCCUUUCUCAAAACCAGAUCCUGGCCGGGUGCAGUGGCUCAUACCUGUAAUCCCAGCACUUUGGGAGGCUGAGGUGGGUGGAUCACC
This is a long non-coding RNA of Sapajus apella (tufted capuchin), 1399 nucleotides long. RefSeq lists it as uncharacterized. The record is from RefSeq and is a predicted model, not a curated record. The transcript has 3 exons. NCBI's taxonomy places the organism in Eukaryota, Metazoa, Chordata, Mammalia, Primates, Cebidae.